This 32-nucleotide transfer RNA is filed under the name Cephalanthera nanchuanica. Its description in RNAcentral is "partial tRNA-Leu". The record is from RNAcentral. Lineage: Eukaryota; Viridiplantae; Streptophyta; Magnoliopsida; Asparagales; Orchidaceae.
UAUCGUGAGGGUUCAAGUCCCUCUAUCCCCAA